This 253-nucleotide ribosomal RNA is filed under the name uncultured bacterium. RNAcentral's name for it is "partial 16S ribosomal RNA". It matches the Rfam family "Bacterial small subunit ribosomal RNA", at positions 524 to 776 of the family's 1533-position model. The record is from RNAcentral.
UACGUAGGGUGCGAGCGUUGUCCGGAAUUACUGGGCGUAAAGAGCUCGUAGGUGGUUUGUCGCGUUGUUCGUGAAAACCGGGGGCUUAACCCUCGGCGUGCGGGCGAUACGGGCAGACUUGAGUACUGCAGGGGAGACUGGAAUUCCUGGUGUAGCGGUGGAAUGCGCAGAUAUCAGGAGGAACACCGGUGGCGAAGGCGGGUCACUGGGCCGCAACUGACGCUGAGGAGCGAAAGCAUGGGGAGCGAACAGG